UCCGUCUUGACGACGGCAGUCCCUCUGGAGUGCCCACCUUAGAUGAUGGCAACCAAAGGCAAGGGUUGCGCUCGUUGCGGGACUUAACCCAACAUUUCACAACACGAGCUGACGACAGCCAUGCAGCACCUGUCUCUGUGUCCCUUGCGGGCCUCUGAUAUCUCUACCAGAUUCACAGGAUGUCAAACCCAGGUAAGGUUCUUCGCGUUGCUUCGAAUUAAACCACAUGAUCCACCGCUUGUGCGGGCCCCCGUCAAUUCCUUUGAGUUUUAGUCUUGCGACCGUACUCCCCAGGCGGGAUACUUAUUGUGUUAACGUCGACACGGCAGGGGUCAAGACCCACCACGUCUAGUAUCCAUCGUUUACAGCGUGGACUAC
RNAcentral lists this unclassified non-coding RNA (378 nucleotides) under uncultured Oligoflexales bacterium. RNAcentral describes it as "contains 16S-23S intergenic spacer region". The record is from RNAcentral. Lineage: Bacteria; Pseudomonadati; Bdellovibrionota; Oligoflexia; Oligoflexales.